Molecule: long non-coding RNA, 255 nt
Organism: Gymnogyps californianus (California condor)
Lineage: Eukaryota; Metazoa; Chordata; Aves; Accipitriformes; Cathartidae
Exons: 3
Source: RefSeq, a predicted model, not a curated record
GCGAGGGAAAGAAGAAGCCUAUGUUCAUGUUGUAAUGGAUCAUAUCGGAACAGUGAAAGUAACACCGAAAAAUGCAGUUUCAUCUCAUCUCUAUGGCUACAUGGCGUUAUGCAACAUGACUUCUGGAAAAUUGUAAGAGAUUGAAAAUGUUCUGGAUUUGUGGCAGUGUUUGUAUUUACAAACCAAACAACCAACAGGCUGAAUGCAACAGAAGCUGAGAGACCUACUGAUAUAAUCACUUGGCAAUAGGACCCC